Molecule: ribosomal RNA, 725 nt
Filed under: Gambierdiscus australes
Lineage: Eukaryota; Dinophyceae; Gonyaulacales; Pyrocystaceae
Description: LSU rRNA
Rfam family: Eukaryotic large subunit ribosomal RNA
Source: RNAcentral
AACUGCUGGACAAGGAGUGUUCUGUUGAACUCAUUUUCACACGAUGAACAACUGGCUUAGAACUGAUUCGGGCAAGGGGAAUCCGACUGUUUAAUUGAAACAAAGUAUUGCGAGGGCCUCAAAGGGUGGUGCCACAAUGUGAUUUCUGCCCAGUGCUCUGAAUGUCAAAGUGAGGAAAUUCAACUAAGCGCGGGUAAACGGCGGGAGUAACUAUGACUCUCUUAAGGUAGCCAAAUGCCUCGUCAUCCAAUUAGUGACGCGCAUGAAUGGAUUAAUGAGAUUCCCACUGUCCCCAUCUACUGUCCAGCGAAACCACAGCCAAGGGAACGGGCUUGGGUAAAUCAGCGGGGAAAGAAGACCCUGUUGAGCUUGACUCUAAUCUGACUUUGUGAAAUGACUUAGGAGGAGUAGGAUAUGUGGGAGCUCUGGUGAUCUUGAAAUACCACUACUCUUAAUGUCACUUUACUUACUCUAUCCAACUGUGCCCUGCCUCCCAGCAGGUUUUUGUUUCAAGGGAUCCCAUCUGACUUGGUGACUUGCCUAGAGAACGUAGGCAGGUGGGCAGUUUGGCUGGGGCGGCACAUCUGUUAAAGGAUAACGCAGGUGUCCCAAGGUAAGCUCAAGGAGAACAGAAAUCUCAUGUGGAUCAGAAGGGGAAACGCUUGCGUGAUUUUGCUUUUCAGUGUGAAGACAAACUGUGCAAACAUGGCCUAUUGAUCCUUUGG